RNAcentral lists this ribosomal RNA (589 nucleotides) under uncultured bacterium. RNAcentral describes it as "partial 16S ribosomal RNA". It matches the Rfam family "Bacterial small subunit ribosomal RNA", at positions 355 to 1375 of the family's 1533-position model. The record is from RNAcentral.
UGGGGAAUUUUGGACAAUGGGCGAAAGCCUGAUCCAGCAAUGCCGCGUGUGUGAAGAAGGCCUUCGGGUUGUAAAGCACUUUUGUCCGGAAAGAAAUCCUUGGCUCUAAUACAGUCGGGGGAUGACGGUACCGGAAGAAUAAGCACCGGCUAACUACGUGCCAGCAGCCGCGGUAAUACGUAGGGUGCAAGCGUUAAUCGGAAUUACUGGGCGUAAAGCGUGCGCAGGCGGUUUGCUAAGACCGAUGUGAAAUCCCCGGGCUCAACCUGGGAACUGCAUUGGUGACUGGCAGGCUAGAGUAUGGCAGAGGGGGGUAGAAUUCCACGUGUAGCAGUGAAAUGCGUAGAGAUGUGGAGGAAUACCGAUGGCGAAGGCAGCCCCCUGGGCCAAUACUGACGCUCAUGCACGAAAGCGUGGGGAGCAAACAGGAUUAGAUACCCCUGGUAGUCCACGCCCCUAAAACGAUGGUCAACUAGUUGUUGGGGGAUUCAUUUCCUUAGUAACGUAGCUAACGCGUGAAGUUGACCGCCUGGGGAGUACGUCGCAAGAUUAAAACUCAAAGGAAUUGACGGGGUCAUAGCUGUUUCCU